RNAcentral lists this ribosomal RNA (610 nucleotides) under Escherichia coli. RNAcentral's name for it is "partial 23S ribosomal RNA". It matches the Rfam family "Bacterial large subunit ribosomal RNA", at positions 628 to 1239 of the family's 2925-position model. Lineage: Bacteria; Pseudomonadati; Pseudomonadota; Gammaproteobacteria; Enterobacterales; Enterobacteriaceae. The record is from RNAcentral.
UUAUAUUCUGUAGCAAGGUUAACCGAAUAGGGGAGCCGAAGGGAAACCGAGUCUUAACCGGGCGUUAAGUUGCAGGGUAUAGACCCGAAACCCGGUGAUCUAGCCAUGGGCAGGUUGAAGGUUGGGUAACACUAACUGGAGGACCGAACCGACUAAUGUUGAAAAAUUAGCGGAUGACUUGUGGCUGGGGGUGAAAGGCCAAUCAAACCGGGAGAUAGCUGGUUCUCCCCGAAAGCUAUUUAGGUAGCGCCUCGUGAAUUCAUCUCCGGGGGUAGAGCACUGUUUCGGCAAGGGGGUCAUCCCGACUUACCAACCCGAUGCAAACUGCGAAUACCGGAGAAUGUUAUCACGGGAGACACACGGCGGGUGCUAACGUCCGUCGUGAAGAGGGAAACAACCCAGACCGCCAGCUAAGGUCCCAAAGUCAUGGUUAAGUGGGAAACGAUGUGGGAAGGCCCAGACAGCCAGGAUGUUGGCUUAGAAGCAGCCAUCAUUUAAAGAAAGCGUAAUAGCUCACUGGUCGAGUCGGCCUGCGCGGAAGAUGUAACGGGGCUAAACCAUGCACCGAAGCUGCGGCAGCGACACUGUGUGUUGUUGGGUAGGGGAGCGU